RNAcentral lists this unclassified non-coding RNA (289 nucleotides) under uncultured fungus. RNAcentral's name for it is "partial contains small subunit ribosomal RNA, internal transcribed spacer 1, and 5.8S ribosomal RNA". The stretch from base 1 to 73 matches the Rfam family "Eukaryotic small subunit ribosomal RNA", at positions 1759 to 1831 of the family's 1831-position model. Lineage: Eukaryota; Fungi. The record is from RNAcentral.
UCAAACUUGGUCAUUUAGAGGAAGUAAAAGUCGUAACAAGGUCUCCGUAGGUGAACCUGCGGAGGGAUCAUUACCGAGCGUCGUGGCCCGUAAGGGCCUAGGCCUCAUAUCCGCUGUUUAAACCCAGCUUCUGCCUCGGCGGUCUGGAGGGGGGGAUGCCCCCCCUAACAGCCGUCGCUGGCGUCUUUUAAAACUCUUAUAACCGUUCUGUCUGAGCGGCGUAAGCCAAACCUCUAAUACAACCUGCAACAAUGGAUCUCUUGGUUCCGGCAUCGAUGAAGAACGCAGC